Molecule: non-coding RNA, 1410 nt
Organism: Jaculus jaculus (lesser Egyptian jerboa)
Lineage: Eukaryota; Metazoa; Chordata; Mammalia; Rodentia; Dipodidae
Source: the annotation of a RefSeq genome assembly
AUGAGAUCUGCAGCAUCUGUUCAGCCUCCCUUCACCUACCUCUUGAGGUCUUGCAACCAAAGCACUGCUCCCAUGAGACUGGGCUGCCUAGUCAAGGACUACUUCCCCAAGCCAGUGACUGUGACCUGGGACCCAGUCUUUGUGAACGUGAGCAUCCUGGACUUCCCUGCCAUCUCUCUCGACUCUGGUGCCUGGGUCACCACCAGCCAAGUGACUGCCUGGGGCAAGCUGGCCAAUAACUUCACCUGUCGGGUGGAGCAUGUUCCAUCUGCAACCUACAAGUCACAGCUCACUCCCUUUGCCCUAGAUGUUCCUCAUUCCAACAUCACUCAGCCCACCCUGAAGCUACUCCACUCAUCCUGCAACCCCAAUAACUUUGACUCUACCAUCCAGCUUUACUGCUUCAUUUAUGGCCACACCCCAGGUGACAUCUUUGUCACCUGGCUGAAGAACGGUCAGGAAAUGCCCAAAGCUUUCCCACGUGAAUUCUUGCUCAAGCAGGAGGGCAAGCUGGCCUACACCUACAGUGAGCUCAAUAUCACCAGGGAGGAAUGGGUGUCUGAGAGCACCUUCACUUGUCAAGUCAUCUCCCAAGGCGUGAUCUACAAGGCUCAUGCUCAGAAGUGCCCAGAUUAUGAGCCACGUGGUGUGAGUACUUACCUGAUCCCACCCAGCCCUCUUGACCUAUAUGUAAACAUGGCACCCAAGCUCACCUGUCUGGUGGUGGACCUGGAAAGUGAGAACCUUGUCACUGUGAACUGGACUCGGGAGAGCAGGAAGCCUGUGGGCCAGAUGUCUUGGCAUUCCACCAGGCACUACAAUGCCACAAUCAGCAUCAUCUCCACCCUGCCAGUGGAUGCCAAGGAUUGGACUGAAGGCGAAGGCUAUCGGUGCAUGGUAUUCCACCCUGACUUACCCAAGCCCAUUGUACGGUCCAUCACCAAGGCCCCAGGCCAGCGUUUGGAACCCAAGGUCUAUAUAUACCUGCCACCCAAAGAAGAGAUUCAGAAAAACAAAAACAAAAAACUCACACUCACCUGCCUGAUCCAGAACUUCUUCCCUGCGGAUAUAUCAGUACAGUGGUUGCAGGAUGGGGUGCUAAUCCCCAGCAACCAGUACAGCACCACUGCACCUCUGAAGGACAACAGCUCCAAAGCAGCCUUCUUCAUCUUUUCCCGCCUGCAAGUCACCUGGAAAGACUGGAUGCAGAAUAACCAAUUCACCUGCCGUGUGAUCCAUGAAGCUAUCCCCAAUUCUAGGACCCUUGAGAAAACAGUAAGGAGGAGUUUGGGAGAUGGUUCUUAUGACAUUCAAGCCAUCACUGCCCCUGCCGUCUCCCAACCUGUGCUGGCUGAGGUUAAAGACCAGGCUGUCCAUCUCUGCCCAGGCCCACUAUUCAUGAGCCUCUAA